AUGAGAAGACAAAAUGGAAACAUAAUGAAUACUACAGAAGAAAAAAUAAUGUGUUUUAUGCUGUAAAAUCUUGCUGAAUAAAUAACAUAGUUCUACUCUAAUUAACCAUUAUACCUGAUUUCCAAUCCAGUAUUUAUUUUCAAAUCAAAGGCAAAUCCUAAAUCCUUAUGACAUCUGUGUCAAGCUACUCAACACAAAUACAUAAAGAAUCAUCAUUGUCAUCCAUGAAUAGAUCCAGGUUGUUCAUCUCCAGCAGCAAGAGAGUAACCACACAGCAUAUACAAAUAGAAAUAAAAAGAUACACAGUUCAGCAACUCAACCCUUUUGCUUCCCAUGCUUGCCUUGCUUUCUCUGCCUUCUGCGUUUAUCUGUUUCAGACUAAAUAAGUCUCUUUUGAGCAGGUUGGACAUGUGGCCAAGAAUAGAACUGAUUUAAGAGUCUGCAAAGGAGAUAUAAGUAAGUCCGGCUCCACCUUUUUACAACUUUUUUUUUUUUAGAGGACCUUUUUUACAACUUUCACUGGGUUGUCUUGAAUAUAUUGCGAAUGAUGUAUUAAACUUCAUAUAUUAAGUUGAAUCGGUUUAAUCGGAAAAUUUAAUUUGAUUCCAUUUAA
Long non-coding RNA from Glycine soja, 613 nucleotides. RefSeq lists it as uncharacterized. The transcript has 2 exons. Lineage: Eukaryota; Viridiplantae; Streptophyta; Magnoliopsida; Fabales; Fabaceae. The record is from RefSeq and is a predicted model, not a curated record.